RNAcentral lists this ribosomal RNA (254 nucleotides) under uncultured bacterium. RNAcentral describes it as "partial 16S ribosomal RNA". It matches the Rfam family "Bacterial small subunit ribosomal RNA", at positions 15 to 252 of the family's 1533-position model. The record is from RNAcentral.
GAUCAUGGCUCAGGAUGAACGCUGGCGGCGUGCUUAACACAUGCAAGUCGAACGAGAAACCUUUUACUGAAGCUUCGGCAGAUUUAAUUUGUUUCUAGUGGCGGACGGGUGAGUAACGCGUGGGUAACCUGCCCUAUACAGGGGGAUAACAACCAGAAAUGGUUGCUAAUACCGCAUAAGCGCACAGGACCGCAUGGUCCGGUGUGAAAAACUCCGGUGGUAUAGGAUGGACCCGCGUUGGAUUAGCCAGUUGG